GGCCGAUUAGCUCAGUUGGUUAGAGCGUCCUGCUAAUACCGCGAAGGUCGCAGGUUCAAGACCUGCAUGGGCCA
Molecule: non-coding RNA, 74 nt
Organism: Nicotiana sylvestris (wood tobacco)
Lineage: Eukaryota; Viridiplantae; Streptophyta; Magnoliopsida; Solanales; Solanaceae
Source: Rfam